AUUGAACGCUGGCGGCAUGCUUUACACAUGCAAGUCGAACGGUAACAGGUUAAGCUGACGAGUGGCGAACGGGUGAGUAAUGCAUCGGAACGUGCCCGGUCGUGGGGGAUAACGCAGCGAAAGCUGCGCUAAUACCGCAUACGAUCCAAGGAUGAAAGCGGGGGACCGUAAGGCCUCGCGCGAUCGGAGCGGGCGAUGUCAGAUUAGGUAGGUGGUGGGGUAAAGGCGCACAAAGCCAACGAUCUGUAGCUGGUCUGAGAGGACGACCAGCCACACGGGGACUGAGACACGGCCCAGACUCCUCCGGGAGGCAGCAGUGGGGAAUUUUGGACAAUGGGCGAAAGCCUGAUCCAGCAAUGCCGCGUGCAGGAAGAAGGCCUUCGGGUUGUAAACUGCUUUUGUACGGAGCGAAAAGGUCUCCUCUAAUACAGGGGGCUCAUGACGGUACCGUAAGAAUAAGCACCGGCUAACUACGUGCCAGCCGCCGCCGUAA
Molecule: ribosomal RNA, 493 nt
Filed under: uncultured bacterium
Lineage: Bacteria
Description: partial 16S ribosomal RNA
Rfam family: Bacterial small subunit ribosomal RNA
Source: RNAcentral